AGUCAUAGGUUCGUCUCAUAGAUACAUUCUGCCCCCUGUAUGGUAUAAAGGGCCGCAGAACUUUAACUGUGCUAAGGUAGCGUAAUAGUUUGUCUUUUAAAUGAAGACUGUAUGAAUGGCAACACGUGGCUCUACUGUCUCUUGUAGAUUUUGUGGAAGUUACUUAGUGGGUGAAAAUACCCACCAAAAGAAAAAGGACGAGAAGACCCUGAGAGCUUUUACGAGAAGUCGAAAAGGCUCCUGUUUUUGUUGGGGCAACAGAGGAGCAGAAUAACCUCCUUUGCUUAACCUGCCCCCUGUGGGUUAAAGAAUAAGCUACCUCAGGGAUAACAGCAUAAUUUUUUAAAAAGCUUGUGACCUCGAUGUUGGACUAGGGAAACUAAGGUUCAGAAGAUCUUUGUGUGCGCUCUGUUCGAGCUUUCCCCCU
RNAcentral lists this ribosomal RNA (427 nucleotides) under Siphonaria sp. BMNH 20060463. RNAcentral's name for it is "partial 16S ribosomal RNA". It matches the Rfam family "Bacterial large subunit ribosomal RNA", at positions 1888 to 2597 of the family's 2925-position model. The record is from RNAcentral. Lineage: Eukaryota; Metazoa; Mollusca; Gastropoda; Siphonariida; Siphonariidae.